Molecule: ribosomal RNA, 404 nt
Filed under: uncultured bacterium
Lineage: Bacteria
Description: bacterial SSU rRNA
Rfam family: Bacterial small subunit ribosomal RNA
Source: RNAcentral
GUUUGAUCCUGGCUCAGAAUCAACGCUGGCGGCGCGCUUAACGCAUGCAAGUCGAGCGAGAAAGGGGAGCAAUCCCUGAGUAAAGCGGCGUACGGGUGAGUAACACGUGGGUCAUAUACCUCUUAGUGGGGAAUAACCCUGGGAAACCGGGGCUAAUACCGCAUGAGCCUGAAAAGGGAAAGCAGCAAUGCGCUGAGAGAGUAGCCCGCGGCCGAUUAGCUAGUUGGUGAGGUAAUGGCCCACCAAGGCGACGAUCGGUAGCCGGCCUGAGAGGGCACACGGCCACACUGGCACUGAAACACGGGCCAGACUCCUACGGGAGGCAGCAGUGGGGAAUCUUGCACAAUGGGGGAAACCCUGAUGCAGCGACGCCGCGUGAGCGAUGAAGCCCCUCGGGGUGUAAA